GACGAACGCUGGCGGCGUGCCUAAUACAUGCAAGUCGAACGAACCGCGACUAAGUGCUUGCACUAAGUCAAGGUGAGUGGCGAACGGGUGAGUAACACGUGGGUAACCUACCUCAUAGUGGGGGAUAACAGUCGGAAACGACUGCUAAUACCGCAUAGGACAUAGGAUCACAUGAUCCAGGGAGGAAAGGUGGCGCAAGCUAUCGCUAAGAGAUGGACCCGCGGUGCAUUAGCUAGUUGGUAGGGUAAAGGCCUACCAAGGCGAUGAUGCAUAGCCGACCUGAGAGGGUGAUCGGCCACAUUGGGACUGAGACACGGCCCACACUCCUACGGGAGGCAGCAGUAGGGAAUCUUCCGCAAAGGACGCAAGUCUGACGGAGCAACGCCGCGUGAGUGAAGAAGGUCUUCGGAUCGUAAAGCUCUGUUGUUAGAGAAGAACAGCGCAUAGAGUAACUGCUAUGCGUGUGACGGUAUCUAACCAGAAAGCCACGGCUAACUACGUG
Molecule: ribosomal RNA, 502 nt
Filed under: uncultured bacterium
Lineage: Bacteria
Description: partial 16S ribosomal RNA
Rfam family: Bacterial small subunit ribosomal RNA
Source: RNAcentral